Triticum aestivum (bread wheat) is the source of this 85-nucleotide non-coding RNA. Lineage: Eukaryota; Viridiplantae; Streptophyta; Magnoliopsida; Poales; Poaceae. The record is from Rfam.
GUCCCUUUGGGGACAUCCGAUAAAAUUGGAACAAUACGGAGACGCAAGGAUGGCACGCACAAAUCGAGAAAUGGUCAAAUUUUUU